Long non-coding RNA from Magnolia sinica, 890 nucleotides. RefSeq lists it as uncharacterized. The transcript is spliced from 5 exons. The record is from RefSeq and is a predicted model, not a curated record. Lineage: Eukaryota; Viridiplantae; Streptophyta; Magnoliopsida; Magnoliales; Magnoliaceae.
CCAAAUUGGGGAUUUAGGGAUUUUAGGAUUUUGGGGAUUUUCGGACUUUUAAAAUUGGGGAUUUUCUGAUUUUGCAAAUUGGGGAUUUUCUGAUUUUACAAAUUGGGAUUUUCUGAUUUUACAGAUUUUUUUUUUUUUUUUUAAAUUUUUUUAACAUUCUGUUGCUGUUCUCUUUCUAAUUUUCACGAUGGAUCCUAAAAAUCAAGGCCACGCCACAAGGAAUAGUGUCAAAUCAUGCUAAAUUUACUAUAUAUGGCCAAGUUGAGUCUUGGAAUAUCCUGAUUUUCGGGGAAUCCAUUCAUCCUAGUGUGGCAAAUCAUAUAAGUAGAUUGGAUGGCAUAUAAAUAUCAAGGUGGAACCUGCAUGUACUUUGGACGAUUUUGGUGGUGGGAAUUACUAUUUCAACUGUUCCCCGACAGGUGUUGUCUUUGGUUUUGGAAGAUUUUGGGUACCACCCACUCCGCAUGGUCCAUAUAGGCAAUUUGGAUCAUUGCAGCAUGCCCUGGAUCUAGCUGCAGUUAGCGGUGAAACUUGGACAGGUGGAUUUGGAUUGAAGAUGGAUCUAGCAGUGCAACAUGUCCUCCUUAUACACAGUAGAGAUGUGAAAGAUGGAGGAAACGACUGGAGCCUGGAGCUGUUGAUGUGUUUCUUGAUUUCAUUUACUACUCAGGUGGUCCUCUACCUGACGAACUGCUCACCCAAGUUAAGGGAGUUCAUGUUUCAGAGGAUUUUGUUGCCGAGCAAUUGAGGUCCAUGAUUUCUGAUAUGUAGGUUGCUGUGGUCACUCAGGUUGGCAGCUGGUAUACAGGAAGUCAAAGUUGAAAUGAAAAUGAUGCCCAUCCCAAGCAUUACAACAAAUAUGAUGUUGAACUGUGGUGCCAAUUAUUUCU